AUGAGCGGGAUGAUCUCGUCCACCACCUGCUUAAACUCCCGCGCCUCCAGGGACAUGUCCAACGCACGUCCCUGCACUCCGUCUUCCUCUACGACAACAACCUCACCGGCGCCUUCCCACCGGCGCUCGGGCGCUGCAGGCAGCUGCAGCGGCUGCUCCUUGCAAACAAUGGGUUCUCCGGUCACAUACCGGCCGUCGCAUUGCCACAGAUGGAGAGCCUGUAGCUGCUCGACCUGUCGUCCAACUCCCUCACGGACGCCAUCCCACCUGAGCUCGGCAAGCUCCAGGCGCUGGCCGGUACGCUGA
RNAcentral lists this ribosomal RNA (306 nucleotides) under Triticum aestivum (bread wheat). RNAcentral describes it as "partial small subunit ribosomal RNA". The record is from RNAcentral. Lineage: Eukaryota; Viridiplantae; Streptophyta; Magnoliopsida; Poales; Poaceae.